RNAcentral lists this ribosomal RNA (429 nucleotides) under Chloroflexota bacterium. Its description in RNAcentral is "Chloroflexi bacterium partial 16S ribosomal RNA". It matches the Rfam family "Bacterial small subunit ribosomal RNA", at positions 355 to 776 of the family's 1533-position model. The record is from RNAcentral. Lineage: Bacteria; Bacillati; Chloroflexota.
UGGGGAAUAUUGUACAAUGGGCGCAAGCCUGAUGCAGCCAUGCCGCGUGUAUGAAGAAGGCCUUCGGGUUGUAAAGUACUUUCAGUCGGGAGGAAGGUGUCAAGGUUAAUAACCUUGGCAAUUGACGUUACCGACAGAAGAAGCACCGGCUAACUCCGUGCCAGCAGCCGCGGUAAUACGGAGGGUGCAAGCGUUAAUCGGAAUUACUGGGCGUAAAGCGCACGCAGGCGGUUGAUUGAGUCAGAUGUGAAAUCCCCGGGCUUAACCCGGGAAUUGCAUCUGAUACUGGUCAGCUAGAGUCUUGUAGAGGGGGGUAGAAUUCCAUGUGUAGCGGUGAAAUGCGUAGAGAUGUGGAGGAAUACCGGUGGCGAAGGCGGCCCCCUGGACAAAGACUGACGCUCAGGUGCGAAAGCGUGGGGAGCAAACAGG